CUGGGUGUGGCGCAGCUCGGUAGCGCGCACCGUUCGGGACGGUGAGGUCGCUGGUUCAAAUCCAGUCACCCAGACCA
Molecule: transfer RNA, 77 nt
Filed under: Candidatus Saccharimonadota bacterium
Lineage: Bacteria; Candidatus Saccharimonadota
Also listed under: 1 other name
Description: tRNA-Pro
Rfam family: tRNA
About the family: Transfer RNA (tRNA) molecules are approximately 80 nucleotides in length. Their secondary structure includes four short double-helical elements and three loops (D, anti-codon, and T loops). Further hydrogen bonds mediate the characteristic L-shaped molecular structure. tRNAs have two regions of fundamental functional importance: the anti-codon, which is responsible for specific mRNA codon recognition, and the 3' end, to which the tRNAs corresponding amino acid is attached (by aminoacyl-tRNA synthetases). tRNAs cope with the degeneracy of the genetic code in two manners: having more than one tRNA (with a specific anti-codon) for a particular amino acid; and 'wobble' base-pairing, i.e. permitting non-standard base-pairing at the 3rd anti-codon position.
Source: RNAcentral